UUGUUUUGGAACCAGGCCCGGAUUUGUGGCGAGGCCACAUAGGCCCAGGCCUAGGGCGGCAAAAUUUUAAGGGCGGCAUGCCGCCCUGCUGCAUGCCGCCCUGCUGCAUCCAAGGAAGCACUUGGUGCUCCAAUACUGAAUAGUGCACUCGCUUGAGCAUAGGGGCCGGCACUUUGGACAAUACGUCUGGCGCUAAGACCACACAGUGAAGGGAGGGCGCACACACGAAGCGUCAGGGCACUGGCCUUGGGGCGCGGCUUUCAGAAAUCCAGCCCUGUUUGGAACCACAAUAAUCCCAUCAUGCCAAAUUCUCCACUAUUUAAUUUCUUUGUUCCCAACUUUUCUUCACCUCUUUUCCUUCCCUCAAUUAAACUCCAGUACUGUCACCUUCCACCCAAUUCUACUUUUGCUCAGCCAUUAAAAUGAUUUUAUUGCCGAAUACCUAACUUGUGUUUGCUUUUGUAUUUUCUACCUUUCCCUAUGCAGUGUAGAAUUGACCUGCCUUCCCUUCCAGAAAAUUUUCUUAUAUGUUUUUUGUUUCUCUUCCUCCGUCAAAGCAAAGGUGGGCAGAGUGUGAAUACUGGUAAUUGAAUUAGCCCACUCACUUGGAUUACAGGAAUAUAAGAUAACAGUGAAAAUUUCCAGUGAAGACUGGGGAAGAAGAGGAAAGGAGAAAGAAGAGUGGUAAAACCAGAAAGCUCCGGCUAAGCCUCUGUCUAAUUUUAUUGGCCUGAAUAUGUAUCUGAUCCCAGUCAUGAGCGGAAGGACAUAAGCGCAUUCGGAAGGUACUGCAGCAACAGCUUCUGGGCCCAAUGGUCCGAACUAGGGGAAGGCAUCAGAAGAGGCUUAAAUUGUGGCCAAGAGAAUUUGCACUCAGAGGAGAACAUCUGUGACUCCCCCGAGCUUUUGUUGCUGAGUCGUGGCCAGAAUUGGUCAGUCUGUAACAGAAGUGUAACCGAAGCCUCACUACAAAGAUAUCGAGGCAGAGCUGAAUGAGAGAAAACAUACGAGAGUGUCCACUAAACAGUGCAGAGAAGACUUUGGUGUGGUUGAAGGGUCGUGUGGUUGCUCAGAAACCUGAGUUAAGGAAACAAAAUGGGUUACUAGGCUUGUUUGGGCUGAGGAACACAUGAACUGGACUCCUGCUUAAUGGUAUAAGGGAAAUAUGAAUUCAAGUAUGGCAAUUUUUGGUUUAUCACAACAGGUUUUUGUAGGUCUUCCACUGAUUGACUUGCGUUUAAAUUAAAGCAGCUACCGGAGUAGUGGCAUCAGCAUCUUGUCAUAUCCUUGUAAAACCACUAAAAUGUCCUUAUCUGCUGGUAUUAGACUUAUUUGUGUCCCCAUGGUUUUCCUGUUGGCUUGUAGCCAGUGCUUAAUAUAAAAUAAUAGCAACUUUUCGUUGUCAUUGGUGAAAGCUGCCCACUGGAAAAUCCUGCAUGCUACUUUAUUCACGUGCAUCUCACCUAUCAAUUACAAAUAAUUCAAUUUUUUAAAAACAAUUUCCUUUCUUCCUAUAAUAGUAAAACAGUAGCUUGAACAAGUAUGGGAACCAUUUAUUCAGAAUGUUCAGGAUCUGGGAUUCCUGGAUGUAUUAGUAGGAGUUUUUUUUCAAUAAUGGCUCAUGGUAAUACUCUGAUUAAACCCAAUAGCUCAUCGCAAUACUUUGAUAAAGAA
Molecule: long non-coding RNA, 1674 nt
Organism: Xenopus laevis (African clawed frog)
Lineage: Eukaryota; Metazoa; Chordata; Amphibia; Anura; Pipidae
Exons: 4
Source: RefSeq, a predicted model, not a curated record